UUAAUAUGUAGCACAUGCUAUUAAUUUAAUAGCAUGUGCUACAUGAAAAAAUAGUGAUUUUAAAAUUAUUUUUUUUAAAGUGUACUAAUUGUGCGAUAAUUUUGGUCGCAGCAUGGUCAAAUCUAUCAUUAAUCCCAUCGGGCUUUAUUGGAUUUGACCACGCCCUGACCAAAAUUAUCACCUCAUAAUACUCAAAGAAUGAUUCCUUAUUCCUUACAUAGCAACAAAACACUGUUACAGUAAGUAAACAUCGUGAAGCACAGAUUUUCAAAGAGUAUUUGAAAUGCGAAAUUGAUAAUUUUAAAGAUUUUCAAUACCGGUAACUUAAAUACGAUGAGAUGUAAGGCAACUUGUAUACAUAGGUUUGUGUAGAUUAUCGCAUUUGUGAUUGUGAAUAAAUGUGUCACUUGAUAGUCCUCACAAAAACAAAACACUAAUUGUUUUUUUUACUGACAGACUACAGAAAUUUGUUUUCCCUUGGACUGAAAUGUCACAUUUUCAUUGGUUUAAACAUAGCACAUGAUUGCCUCAUAUAUCUCUAUAUUUGUUCUGUGAGAAAUAAUAUUAGGCAAUAUGGCCGUCAUUGGUCGACGCUUCGCUUACUCAUUUCGACAUUUCAUAGUAUUUUAUACAUAAAGUGCAUGCCAUAAGUUCUUGAAGUAUUUGGAGUAGUUGCCCUUUAAAAUUCUUUAAAAUUAGAGUAGCUGCCCUAAGAAUAUUGACGUCACAUUGUUUUAUCUGGAGCAGAACAAAAUGGCAGCGUCGAAAUUUGCUCAAAUCUCUGCAGAAGAAAGGGAGAAAACAUUAAAAAUUGAAUAGCAACAAGACAUUUUUGUCAUGCUCAGGCCAGCAUUAAAGGAUCACCAAACAGUAUACACCAUACAUAGUUCGAUUUACGACUCACUGUUUUCUUCCAAGGGACUUUAUUUCCAGAUUUAAAAUUUGGUGUUACAUACAUCAAUAUAUCAUUAACAGAAAGGUUUUCAAACCUUGCAAAUAUGUUCUUUCGUAUUUCUAUGGCAUCACGCGUAUAUGUGCAUUUCCUGGACAACGAAAGUUCAAUGAUCUUAUUCCUGGCAAUUCAUGGAGUUGGACCAAUGGAAUGUUACAGUUAUCAACGGCAUCAUUUCUAAAGUGCAUUACAUUCGAAUAUCAGUGGAAUUUAACCACACGUUCAUCAUUUCGAAUAUGAGACUUCCACUGCGAAAAUGCAUCAGGCAUAUGA
Magallana angulata is the source of this 1225-nucleotide long non-coding RNA. RefSeq lists it as uncharacterized. The record is from RefSeq and is a predicted model, not a curated record. The transcript has 3 exons. NCBI's taxonomy places the organism in Eukaryota, Metazoa, Mollusca, Bivalvia, Ostreida, Ostreidae.